This 425-nucleotide ribosomal RNA is filed under the name uncultured bacterium. RNAcentral's name for it is "partial 16S ribosomal RNA". It matches the Rfam family "Bacterial small subunit ribosomal RNA", at positions 354 to 796 of the family's 1533-position model. The record is from RNAcentral.
GUGGGGAAUAUUGGACAAUGGGCGAAAGCCUGAUCCAGCCAUGCCGCGUGAGUGAUGAAGGCCUUAGGGUUGUAAAGCUCUUUCAGUAGGGAAGAUAAUGACGGUACCUACAGAAGAAGCCCCGGCUAACUUCGUGCCAGCAGCCGCGGUAAUACGAAGGGGGCUAGCGUUGUUCGGAUUUACUGGGCGUAAAGCGCACGUAGGCGGAUUGGUCAGUUAGAGGUGAAAUCCUGGAGCUCAACUCCAGAACUGCCUUUAAUACUGCCAGUCUAGAGUCCAGAAGAGGUGAGUGGAACUCCUAGUGUAGAGGUGGAAUUCGUAGAUAUUAGGAAGACCACCAGUGGCGAAGGCGGCUCACUGGUCUGGUACUGACACUGAGGUGCGAAAGCGUGGGGAGCAAACAGGAUUAGAAACCCCGGUAGUCC